Cebus imitator (Panamanian white-faced capuchin) is the source of this 1869-nucleotide long non-coding RNA. RefSeq lists it as uncharacterized. The transcript is spliced from 2 exons. The record is from RefSeq and is a predicted model, not a curated record. Lineage: Eukaryota; Metazoa; Chordata; Mammalia; Primates; Cebidae.
UUAAGGAAUUUUCUUUAUUUUUUACAAAUUAAGACUAUGUAGAUUUCAUAUAUUUCUCAAUCAAAAACACCUUUGUCUUCACAGUAUGAGUUAGAAUGCAGCCUGAGCUGAAAAUUAAGGAACUAGAAAAUAAAGUGGUAAUUAGAGAUAACUGUAUUUUAAAAAUCUGUUAGGCAUUUUCUUUAAAAGUAGUUUUUUUUUGUUUUUUUUUUUAAAUAUCUUGUCAUUCUUGGCACUGUUUCUAAAGAACUCCAUUAUUCCAAGCAAUAAAAGCACAGAAGGUAGAGUUUGGCUUCAAGGGAUAUAACUCAAAUUCUUGGGACUGGCAGAGAAUCACCAAAUUCAUGGAGAGUGCUGCUAACAGGGGUUUAAUACAAAUAAAGUCCCUUUAUUAAGUUAUCAAGCCAGAGGCUGGAGGCAGCAGCUAAAUCAGAACAGCACCCUCAGUGAGCCAUUCUGGGUGGCAUGCCACUCCAGGAAUAAACACAACUUGGAAACAAAUGGUUUCAUAGGAUAACACAGUGACAUGGUACACUGUGAACCUGCAGCCACUGUGUCAAACUGUGCACUGGUUGUGAAUAAGGAGAGCCAAAAAUUAUGUCCUACUGGUAAUGAGCUUUCAAAGGCUCGAUCCUCUCAUACUGUAGCCCUGUACAGCAGCUCAGAGAAACAGUCACGCCCCACACUGGCCCCUCUGUGGGCAGCUGUCUGUGGCAGCCCACAGGGAAGGAGCUGGAGAUCGCCAUUAGAACUGUCCAUCCACACUUGGAAGCCAAAGGCUGCAUGGAUUGGGGCUCUCACUGGUUUGGUCACCUAACUCCUGCUUAAAAGGCCACAAAUUUCUGGAAAAUAGGUAACAGACCAAAAACUAAAGUGUAUCAGUAAAGUGAACAUUUAUCUACUGCCCUGAAUCUCUGGCUUGACACCACCAAUUGGUAUCUAGUUCGGGACAGACUAAAAUGCACUGAAGGACUGUUAGGAUUGCUGCCUCCUACGUUAUCACAGCCCCGUUCUGUUGAUCUGAAGGAGGAACCGCUUGGUUAGUAAAGAGUUUGCUCCCCGCUGCCCCAAACAGGUCUGGCAGGAUUGGUUACAAUGAACUCCAGAGGCUCAACCAUUCCCUUUCCCUAUCCUUGCUCUCUUGGGACACUUAAUCAUAGCUACCUAGUAGAGAACAUUCAGUAAGGGGAUAACCAACUAAAAAAACAAAAACAGGGCAAGUUUAGGGGAAUCCUACGAUGCUGUACCUUGAGACAUAUAAUCAGCCUUUUCAAAAAUUCCUGACAAGAAUUAGUCUUCCCUUUGUGCUGGUCUUCCCACCCAUGGAUGGAAGCAGGCUGACUCGCUGAGGGUCAGGCAAGGGGUGGGGAGAGGAAACACACAUAAAUCCACAUUACUUUUGUGAAGGCAAAGCAGAAAGGUAUGUUUGCCAGAUCAGCGUGGGCAGCUCAGAGGAAGCAAAGCAUCCACCAGAAGAGGCUCUCCAUUUUCUUUGUAGGGCCUGACAGUUCAGAUAUAACAAGGCUGAGUUAACAAUGGGACCAGUGAACUUCUUUCCAAUGGAAAACUCAUGGCCCAGUCCCACAGGAACUGUGCGCAUACCAAACAAUGAUGAGGAAGGAAGGGCCGGGUGGCUGUACCAAACAGCUCAGGUCCACUGGUGGGAAAGUGGACUCCUGAAGUUAGCGCCCUCUGCUGGUCCCAACUCCUCAUCACGGCGAGUUGGCUGCCUGAGUUGAGGAAGAGGCUAUGGAUGGAGUUAACAAAAAAGGGAGCGAGGAGAACCCCAGGAAGACGAAGCCAAACUCCAAACUAUAUUCUGCUAAUCAGUUUUUUGAUCAAAAAAUUCAAAAUAGAGGAAACCACAAA